RNAcentral lists this microRNA precursor (95 nucleotides) under Marmota monax (woodchuck). The record is from RNAcentral. Lineage: Eukaryota; Metazoa; Chordata; Mammalia; Rodentia; Sciuridae.
AGUAGAAUUUCUGGGACACGUAGUAAUUUUAAUUUUUUGUGAAGCUAUUUGGCUUUUCCAAAGUGGUUGCUCUAUUUUACAUUUCUAUCAGAAAU